UAAAUAACAGGCUUCUGACUUGGGACAGAAACAUACAGCAUGUACAGGAUGUGAUGGAGUCAAACCAGUUUGUUGGUGCCAAAUUAAACCCCUUCCUAACCUUGGAUAGUGGUGUGAAAAGGGCUUAACACAUUUGCCAUCAGAUACAUGUAUGUACAAAGCAAAAAGACAUCUAACAAAAACAUAAACCAGACAGGGUAUUUAUACAUCACCACAGGCACAACAAAAAUAACCUCUUUAAGUCCAGAUUUGAGAGUUACCUCUUAGUUACUGAUAACUAGUUCAAAGCUAACAACAAGUUAUUUACCACCAAAC
Molecule: long non-coding RNA, 315 nt
Filed under: Mytilus galloprovincialis (Mediterranean mussel)
Lineage: Eukaryota; Metazoa; Mollusca; Bivalvia; Mytilida; Mytilidae
Source: RNAcentral